This 122-nucleotide ribosomal RNA is filed under the name Acanthamoeba sp. Watering. Its description in RNAcentral is "partial 18S ribosomal RNA". Lineage: Eukaryota; Discosea; Longamoebia; Acanthamoebidae. The record is from RNAcentral.
GAGUGUCAAGCAGGCAGAUCAAUUUUCUUGCCACGAAUACAUUAGCAUGGGAUAAUGGAAUAGGACCCUGUCCUCCUAUCUUCAGUUGGUUUAGCUGGCGAGGAUCAGGUAAUGAUUAAUAG